CUGUAAUCUGGAACUCACUGGUGUAUGGUGGUGGGAGGGGUCAAUUUAACCUUGUUCUCUGUUCCUGCCCCUACAGAGGUCAUGGGUCAAUCUCUCAUGUGUGCCAUCAUGGUGGAUUCGUGGAAACUGAAUUACCACGAGGAACCACUCGACUGCUAGAACAUCUCAAACACACCAAAGCAAGAAGAGGCAAAGACAUGACAGUUAACACAACUGAAUACUUUAAUACAGAGAUCAAGACAAAGCCGGAAACUGGAUAAGAGGGUAAGGGACCAGUGGCAGGAAAUACCACUGGACCAAGUGCACCAGUUUACUUGGGGCCAAACCUAGAGGGCAGACUCAGUGAGGCCCAUUCUUCACAGAGCCCCAGAUGGUGGGGUGAACUUAGCCGAGGCUCACUGGCUUCACCUUCAUGAUGGUCCUGAUGUACUUGGCCACUUACCUGCAGAGACUGCUGGUGCAAGCACCAGCAGUCCACACAAACAAGGACUGUAAACCCAGCACACAAACUGGAACCGGAACAAACUGCACAGUACAGACAGGACAAAUGUGAAUCAGCACAUAAGCAGCUGCCUGGACCCCAUGCAGAACGACACAUGGAAGUCUCAGGUAGAGCUGCCCAAACAGGAAGACAAGCAGAUACCUGGACCCCAUGUGGAAAGACACUUCACAACGGACCUCAAACAACUCUUCCACUCUUCCUCCAGUCUAUGGGACCUUGAUUUCCAAUGAAUGAAUGAAAACAGGACUUUGGACCACUGAGCAACAGUUCUUUUUCUACUUGGCCCAGGUAAGACGCUUCUGAAUUUGUCUCUCAGUGGCUUGACACAAGGAAUGUGACAGUUGUAACCAUGUCCUGGAUACGUCUGUGUGUGGUGGCUUUUGAAGCACCAACUCCAGCCACAGUCCAUUACUUGUGAAUCUCUCCCAAAUUCUUGAAUGACAAUCCUUUCAAGGCUACAGUUAUCACUGUUGCUUGUGCACUUUUUUCUACCACACUUUUUCCAUCCACUCAGCUUUCCAUUAAUAUUCUUGGAUACAGCACACUGUGAACAGCUUCUUUAGCAAUGACCUUUUGUGGCUUACCGUACUUGUGGAGGGUGUCAAUGACUGUCAUCUGGACAACUGUCAAGUCUGCAGUCUUCCCCAUGAAUGUGUAGUCUACUGAAUCAGACUGAGGGUCCAUUUAAAGGCUUAGAAAACUUUUUUUUAGGUGUUUUGUGUUGACUACCUGAUUAGAGCGUUGCACCAUGAGUCUACAAUAUUGAACUUUUUCACAGUAUUCUAAUUUUCUGAGAUACAGAAUUUUGGGUUUCCAUUAGCUAUAAGCCUUAAUGAUCAGCAUUAAAAGAAAUAAACGCUUAGAAUAGAUCACUCUCUGUGUGUAAUGAAUCUAUAUAAUAUGAGUUUAACUUUUUAAAUUGAAUUACUGAAACUGAGAGGGUGAAAUCUGCUGGAUUUUCCGUGGCAAACAACUGCAUGUAAUAAAUGUGGAUUUUUCAGCUGGAUUUUCAGUCACUUGUGAACUCAGCCUUAUAGAGCAGACCACAUGAUGUGACUAAGUCUUGCCUCUAUAACUUGAAAUGUUGCGGCUUUGUGUUCAGCAAAACAUACUCCGCUAUAUACUAUAUAAUAUGUUUACAUUAAAUGGCUAUUAGUGUAAAUGAAUCACUACAGCCCCUAUUAUAGAAUGCAACCCCAUCAAAUACUGUACCUCUAUUCUGGAUGCUACAAAAAUAACCCUUCUGAGCAGAACAGGUAUAAACAUCUACAGGGUAUGUAUAUUUUACUGUAGUUAACAUCUCUUUUGCAUAUAGAUUGACUCAUGUACACUAAUUGCACAAAUAAACCAGCUAAAUACUAUAUUAUGAGACAGAGAAAACAGACACUGUUAUCCUUAAAGUUUUAUUGAAAAAACAAUAGUAUAUCAAACAUGGCAAGAUCUAUUUUUACGGCAGUUUUCCUAAAAAAAAAUAGAUGGUAGAAGCUGCAUAUCAUAAAACAGAAGCCCACCUUUUCAACACUUUGAUAAUACAAUAUGCAUUUAUGCUAAUCUAUAGAAGAAAGCCUUUGAAUAAAAUAUAAUGUUUCCUGUUCUGCAGGCUUAUCAGUUACCGCACAGGAAUACAGUAGACAUUGCAUUACUGAUCUAUUUACUAUGCAGGUAUAGAUGUAAUUAAACAUAAGCAAUAAAGACCAGAUGGAUUACAACAAGCACAUUGCAAGGAGCUAGGUUUGUUCUGAGCCUCAAUAAUGUUCUUAAUUGUAAUUACAAAAGUGAUUAUUUGUGCAAAAACCUGAACAAUGUGCUCUUGUCUGGAGUUACAGUAUAUUAACCUCAUCUACAGAUAUCACAACCUUCAUCCUGAUUCUUAAAGGCUAUGUACACCUUUUGGGUGAUUUAUUAUUAUUUAAUAAUUUAAUUAUUUUUAACAAUUGCGUUUCACUCCAUUAGUUGCUAAAAUUGUUUUUUUUCAAUUGGUCUUUAUUAUAAAUAUUCAGCCGUUCUAUCACAAAGGGUUAACUGUUUGUAUAGCUGUGUGAAUCCUACUUUCACUUUUUGCCAUCUAAUAACCCUUAUGUCUAAAUAACUAAAAGGUCAUAAACAGUGAGCUAUAUUGAGUGUUUAGGAGACCAGAGAUAAGGAGCCGUCAACUGAGCUGUCUGACGGAACAGAGUGAAAACAGGCUACUAGACAGAGAAAAGGGCUAAAAAUUUUUAAUAAAGACCAAUAAAAAAAUGAUUAGCUCAAAAUGAGUACAAUGCAAUAGUAAUUAAAAAAAAUUGUGCCCAAAGGUGUACAUAGCCAUUAAUGAUUUAAGUAAACAGUAGCAAUAAACUUUUGAUUGACUUUUUCCAUGCCAUUUGUGAUGUAAUAACGUACCAUGAGGUUUACAAUUGUUUCUGAGAUAACCUGUUAUCUUUUAGAAGGAUUCUGCUAAAGCCUAUUAGUUAAAGAGCAGUAAUUUCCAUGGAAACAUGGGGCAGAUUUACUGUUGAAAAUGUGCCGUUUUUUAUUUAUUUUUGUCGCAUUUUGCACAAAAACCUGGUGUACCUGCUUUGCUCCUAUGGGCUCAUUCCCUUAUAUUAAAGCAUCAUUUUUCUCAGCGGUGCCAGCUCUGGGACCCACACCAAUCAUUAUCUUACGUAAUCUUAAUGUGGACUAAUAAAGGUUAUGUUUUUAUAAUUUGCUGGUCAGUGGUAGUCUUGCAUGGCGUAGUACAUACAAUUAGCUUACAGUGAUGUGU
This is a long non-coding RNA of Bufo gargarizans (Asiatic toad), 3248 nucleotides long. RefSeq lists it as uncharacterized. The transcript is spliced from 2 exons. The record is from RefSeq and is a predicted model, not a curated record. NCBI's taxonomy places the organism in Eukaryota, Metazoa, Chordata, Amphibia, Anura, Bufonidae.